This 497-nucleotide ribosomal RNA is filed under the name uncultured bacterium. Its description in RNAcentral is "partial 16S ribosomal RNA". It matches the Rfam family "Bacterial small subunit ribosomal RNA", at positions 28 to 507 of the family's 1533-position model. The record is from RNAcentral.
GACGAACGCUGGCGGCGUGCCUAAUACAUGCAAGUAGAACGCUGAAGAGAGGAGCUUGCUCUUCUUGGAUGAGUUGCGAACGGGUGAGUAACGCGUAGGUAACCUGCCUUGUAGCGGGGGAUAACUAUUGGAAACGAUAGCUAAUACCGCAUAACAAUGGAUGACACAUGUCGUUUAUUUGAAAGGGGCAAUUGCUCCACUACAAGAUGGACCUGCGUUGUAUUAGCUAGUAGGUGAGGUAAUGGCUCACCUAGGCGACGAUACAUAGCCGACCUGAGAGGGUGAUCGGCCACACUGGGACUGAGACACGGCCCAGACUCCUACGGGAGGCAGCAGUAGGGAAUCUUCGGCAAUGGGGGCAACCCUGACCGAGCAACGCCGCGUGAGUGAAGAAGGUUUUCGGAUCGUAAAGCUCUGUUGUAAGUCAAGAACGGGUGUGAGAGUGGAAAGUUCACACUGUGACGGUAGCUUACCAGAAAGGGACGGCUAACUACGUG